Molecule: ribosomal RNA, 301 nt
Filed under: uncultured bacterium
Lineage: Bacteria
Description: partial 16S ribosomal RNA
Rfam family: Bacterial small subunit ribosomal RNA
Source: RNAcentral
CAGUAGCCGCGGUAAUACGUAGGUCCCGAGCGUUGUCCGGAUUUAUUGGGCGUAAAGCGAGCGCAGGCGGUUAGAUAAGUCUGAAGUUAAAGGCUGUGGCUUAACCAUAGUACGCUUUGGAAACUGUUUAACUUGAGUGCAAGAGGGGAGAGUGGAAUUCCAUGUGUAGCGGUGAAAUGCGUAGAUAUAUGUAGGAACACCGGUGGCGAAAGCGGCUCUCUGGCUUGUAACUGACGCUGAGGCUCGAAAGCGUGGGGAGCAAACAGGAUUAGAUACCCCAGUAGUCCCUGUCUCUUAUACA